Molecule: ribosomal RNA, 536 nt
Filed under: uncultured bacterium
Lineage: Bacteria
Description: bacterial SSU rRNA
Rfam family: Bacterial small subunit ribosomal RNA
Source: RNAcentral
AGAGUUUGAUCCUGGCUCAGAUUGAACGCUGGCGGCAGGCCUAACACAUGCAAGUCGAACGGUAACAGGAAGCAGCUUGCUGCUUUGCUGACGAGUGGCGGACGGGUGAGUAAUGUCUGGGAAACUGCCCGAUGGAGGGGGAUAACUACUGGAAACAGGUGCUAAUACCGCAUAGGUCAUCAUUCCACAUGGAAAGAUGACAAAAGACGCUACGGUGUCGCUGUUGGAUGGGCCCGCGCUGCAUUAGUUAGUUGGUGAGGUAACGGCUCACCAAGACCAUGAUGCAUAGCCGACCUGAGAGGGUGAUCGGCCACACUGGAACUGAGACACGGUCCAGACUCCUACGGGAGGCAGCAGUGGGGAAUAUUGCACAAUGGGGGAAACCCUGAUGCAGCCAUGCCGCGUGUGUGAAGAAGGCCUUCGGGUUGUAAAGCACUUUCAGCGGGGAGGAAGGGGUUAAGGUUAAUAACCUUAGCCAUUGACGUUACCCGCAGAAGAAGCACCGGCUAACUCCGUGCCAGCCGCCGCGGUAAUAC